RNAcentral lists this small RNA (121 nucleotides) under uncultured Fusobacterium sp. Its description in RNAcentral is "ydaO/yuaA leader". It matches the Rfam family "c-di-AMP riboswitch aptamer (ydaO/yuaA leader)", at positions 11 to 129 of the family's 134-position model. Rfam says of the family: This family represents a conserved RNA structure found upstream of the ydaO and yuaA genes in Bacillus subtilis and related genes in other bacteria. The ydaO/yuaA element is thought to act as a genetic "off" switch for the ydaO and yuaA genes in its native state. The record is from RNAcentral. Lineage: Bacteria; Fusobacteriati; Fusobacteriota; Fusobacteriia; Fusobacteriales; Fusobacteriaceae.
UGCUUAAUUUAUAUUAUAUAAAUAUAAAGCGGGGGACCCAAUAAAUAGGGGCGUAUUUCUUGAUGAAUAGGACACUUUUCAGUCCGAGCCCGUCAGCUAACCUCGUCAGCAUUGAAAAGAG